RNAcentral lists this ribosomal RNA (477 nucleotides) under uncultured bacterium. RNAcentral's name for it is "partial 16S ribosomal RNA". It matches the Rfam family "Bacterial small subunit ribosomal RNA", at positions 30 to 507 of the family's 1533-position model. The record is from RNAcentral.
AUUGAACGCUGGCGGCAUGCCUUACACAUGCAAGUCGAACGGUAACAGGUUAAGCUGCCGAGUGGCGAACGGGUGAGUAAUGUAUCGGAACGUGCCCAGUCGUGGGGGAUAACUGCUCGAAAGAGCAGCUAAUACCGCAUACGACCUGAGGGUGAAAGCGGGGGAUCGCAAGACCUCGCGCGAUUGGAGCGGCCGAUAUCAGAUUAGGUAGUUGGUGAGGUAAAGGCUCACCAAGCCGACGAUCUGUAGCUGGUCUGAGAGGACGACGAGCCACACUGGGACUGAGACACGGCCCAGACUCCUACGGGAGGCAGCAGUGGGGAAUUUUGGACAAUGGGCGCAAGCCUGAUCCAGCCAUGCCGCGUGCGGGAAGAAGGCCUUCGGGUUGUAAACCGCUUUUGUCAGGGAAGAAAAGGUUCUGGCUAAUACCUGGGACUCAUGACGGUACCUGAAGAAUAAGCACCGGCUAACUACGUG